CCUACGGGAGGCAGCAGUGGGGAAUAUUGGGCAAUGGAGGAAACUCUGACCCAGCGACGCCGCGUGCGGGAUGAAGGCCUUCGGGUUGUAAACCGCUUUCAGUAGGGAAGAAGCGAAAGUGACGGUACCUACAGAAGAAGCACCGGCUAACUAUGUGCCAGCAGCCGCGGUAAUACAUAGGGUGCAAGCGUUGUCCGGAAUUAUUGGGCGUAAAGAGCUCGUAGGUGGUUCGUCACGUCGGAUGUGAAAAUCUGGGGCUCAACCCCAGACCUGCAUUCGAUACGGGCGAUCUAGAGUGUGGUAGGGGAGACUGGAAUUCCUGGUGUAGCGGUGGAAUGCGCAGAUAUCAGGAGGAACACCAAUGGCGAAGGCAGGUCUCUGGGCCAUUACUGACACUGAGGAGCGAAAGCGUGGGGAGCGAACAGGAUUAGAUACCCUGGUAGUCCACGCCGUAAACGGUGGGCACUAGUUGUGGGAACCUUCCACGGUUUCUGCGACGCNGCUACGCAUAGUAGCCCGCCGUCGGGAGGUACGAGUCGCGAGAAGUUAAACGUAACGUAAAGGUAAAGUUAGUUACGGCGUGAGACGUAGCGACGGACGACGACGAGGGAGGAGG
RNAcentral lists this ribosomal RNA (616 nucleotides) under uncultured bacterium. Its description in RNAcentral is "bacterial SSU rRNA". The stretch from base 1 to 521 matches the Rfam family "Bacterial small subunit ribosomal RNA", at positions 338 to 873 of the family's 1533-position model. The record is from RNAcentral.